This 897-nucleotide ribosomal RNA is filed under the name Hydropisphaera palmicola. Its description in RNAcentral is "partial large subunit ribosomal RNA". It matches the Rfam family "Eukaryotic large subunit ribosomal RNA", at positions 21 to 949 of the family's 3401-position model. The record is from RNAcentral. Lineage: Eukaryota; Fungi; Ascomycota; Sordariomycetes; Hypocreales; Bionectriaceae.
UUUACCCGCUGGAAAUUAAGCAUAUCAAUAAGCGGAGGAAAAGAAACCAACAGGGAUUGCCUCAGUAACGGCGAGUGAAGCGGCAACAGCUCAAAUUUGAAAUCUGGCCUCUGGCCCGAGUUGUAAUUUGCAGAGGAUGUUUCUGGCGAGGUGCCUUCCGAGUUCCCUGGAACGGGACGCCAUAGAGGGUGAGAGCCCCGUACGGUUGGUCGCUAAGCCUCUGUGAAACUCCUUCGACGAGUCGAGUAGUUUGGGAAUGCUGCUCUAAAUGGGAGGUAUACGUCUUCUAAAGCUAAAUACCGGCUAGAGACCGAUAGCGCACAAGUAGAGUGAUCGAAAGAUGAAAAGCACUUUGAAAAGAGGGUUAAAUAGUACGUGAAAUUGUUGAAAGGGAAGCGCUUAUGACCAGACUUGGACCGGUUGAUCAUCCAUCGUUCUCGGUGGUGCACUCUGCCGGUUCAGGCCAGCAUCAGUUUGGCUCGGGGGAUAAAGGCUUCGGGAAUGUGGCUCCCUACGGGGAGUGUUAUAGCCCGUUGCGUAAUACCCUGGGCUGGACUGAGGUACGCGCUCCGCAAGGAUGCUGGCGUAAUGGUCAUCAGUGACCCGUCUUGAAACACGGACCAAGGAGUCGUCUUCGUAUGCGAGUGUUCGGGUGUCAAACCCCUACGCGUAAUGAAAGUGAACGUAGGAGAGAGCUUCGGCGCAUCUCCGACCGAUCCUGAUGUUCUCGGAUGGAUUUGAGUAAGAGCAUACGGGGCCGGACCCGAAAGAAGGUGAACUAUGCCUGUAUAGGGUGAAGCCAGAGGAAACUCUGGUGGAGGCUCGCAGCGGUUCUGACGUGCAAAUCGAUCGUCAAAUAUGGGCAUGGGGCGAAAGACUAAUCGAACCUUUUGGGUA